AACGAACGCUGGCGGCGCGCCUAAUACAUGCAAGUCGAGCGAGAAGACGUAGCAAUACGUUUGUAAAGCGGCGAACGGGUGAGGAAUACAUGGGUAACCUACCCUCGAGUGGGAAUAACUAGCCGAAAGGUUAGCUAAUACCGCGUACGCUCCUUGGACUUCGGUUCGGGAGAAGCGAUACCGUGGGUAUCGCGCUCUUGGAUGGGCUCAUGUCCUAUCAGCUUGUUGGUGAGGAACGGCUCACCAAGGCUUCGACGGGUAGCUGGUCUGAGAGGACGAUCAGCCACACUGGCACUGCGACACGGGCCAGACUCCUACGGGAGGCAGCAGUAAGGAAUAUUGCGCAAUGGGCGAAAGCCUGACGCAGCGACGCCGCGUGGGGGA
Molecule: ribosomal RNA, 384 nt
Filed under: uncultured bacterium
Lineage: Bacteria
Description: bacterial SSU rRNA
Rfam family: Bacterial small subunit ribosomal RNA
Source: RNAcentral